AGGGGUAGAGGAGAGCUUGCUUUCCUUGAGACCGGCGCACGGGUGCGUAACGCGUAUGCAACCUACCCUUUUCUGGGGGAUAGCCCGAAGAAAUUCGGAUUAAUACCGCAUAAGACCACGACACGGCAUCGUGACGGGGUCAAACAUUUAUGGGAGAAGGAUGGGCAUGCGUGCCAUUAGCUAGUUGGCGGGGUAACGGCCCACCAAGGCUACGAUGGCUAGGGGAUCUGAGAGGAUGGCCCCCCACACUGGUACUGAGACACGGACCAGACUCCUACGGGAGGCAGCAGUAAGGAAUAUUGGUCAAUGGGCGCAAGCCUGAACCAGCCAUGCCGCGUGCAGGAAGACGGCCCUCCGGGUUGUAAACUGCUUUUGUACGGGAAUAAACCUCCGAUCGUGAUCGGAGCUGAAUGUACCGUAAGAAUAAGGAUCGGCUAACUCCGUGCCAGCAGCCGCGGUAAUACGGAGGAUCCAAGCGUUAUCCGGAUUUAUUGGGUUUAAAGGGUGCGUAGGCGGCCUGUUAAGUCAGGGGUGAAAGACGGUGGCUCAACCAUCGCAGUGCCCUUGAUACUGAUGGGCUUGAAUGGACUAGAGGUAGGCGGAAUGUGACAAGUAGCGGUGAAAUGCAUAGAUAUGUCACAGAACACCGAUUGCGAAGGCAGCUUACUAUGGUCCUAUUGACGCUGAGGCACGAAAGCGUGGGGAUCGAACAGGAUUAGAUACCCUGGUAGUCCACGCCCUAAACGAUGAACACUCGCUGUUGGCGAUACACGGUCAGCGGCUAAGCGAAAGCGUUAAGUGUUCCACCUGGGGAGUACGCCCCGCAAGGGUGAAACUCAAAGGAAUUGACGGGGGCCCGCACAAGCGGAGGAGCAUGUGGUUUAAUUCGAUGAUACGCGAGGAACCUUACCCGGGCUUGAAAGUUAGUGAAGUAUCCAGAGAUGGAUGCGUCCUUCGGGACCCGAAACUAGGUGCUGCAUGGCUGUCGUCAGCUCGUGCCGUGAGGUGUUGGGUUAAGUCCCGCAACGAGCGCAACCCCUAUGUCUAGUUGCCAGCAUGUAAUGGUGGGGACUCUAGACAGACUGCCUGUGCAAACAGAGAGGAAGGAGGGGACGACGUCAAGUCAUCAUGGCCCUUACGUCCGGGGCUACACACGUGCUACAAUGGACGGUACAGAGGGCAGCUAGACAGCAAUGUCAUGCCAAUCUCAAAAAGCCGUUCACAGUUCGGAUCGGGGUCUGCAACUCGACCCCGUGAAGUUGGAUUCGCUAGUAAUCGCGUAUCAGCAAUGACGCGGUGAAUACGUUCCCGGGCCUUGUACACACCGCCCGUCAAGCCAUGGAAGUUGGGGGUACCUAAAGUACGUAACCGCA
Molecule: ribosomal RNA, 1373 nt
Filed under: Pedobacter sp. H37
Lineage: Bacteria; Pseudomonadati; Bacteroidota; Sphingobacteriia; Sphingobacteriales; Sphingobacteriaceae
Description: bacterial SSU rRNA
Rfam family: Bacterial small subunit ribosomal RNA
Source: RNAcentral